GCCUGGGUGGCUCAAUCAGUUAAGCAACUGACUUUGGAUCAGGUCAUGAUCUUGCAGUCCGUGAGUUUCAGCCCCGCCUCGGGCU
Molecule: transfer RNA, 85 nt
Filed under: Felis catus (domestic cat)
Lineage: Eukaryota; Metazoa; Chordata; Mammalia; Carnivora; Felidae
Rfam family: tRNA
About the family: Transfer RNA (tRNA) molecules are approximately 80 nucleotides in length. Their secondary structure includes four short double-helical elements and three loops (D, anti-codon, and T loops). Further hydrogen bonds mediate the characteristic L-shaped molecular structure. tRNAs have two regions of fundamental functional importance: the anti-codon, which is responsible for specific mRNA codon recognition, and the 3' end, to which the tRNAs corresponding amino acid is attached (by aminoacyl-tRNA synthetases). tRNAs cope with the degeneracy of the genetic code in two manners: having more than one tRNA (with a specific anti-codon) for a particular amino acid; and 'wobble' base-pairing, i.e. permitting non-standard base-pairing at the 3rd anti-codon position.
Source: Rfam by way of RNAcentral